UUGUGCGUAGAGACCGUGCCAGCAGUGCGCAAUUGCGCACGCGCGCAGCUUAGAGGGAACAUCGGAAGACUGAGGGCUAUUUCUUUCUUUUUUACAAUACUGGAUUUAGAUUUAUUUUACUUUCUUAUAAUAACCUUAUUACAGACAUAAUAAAAUGAGCUUUGUCAUCGCACGAGAUUUGAACCUUUAAGAUUAUCUGAUUAUCCUAUUGCUUGUAACCUAGCAAAGUAUCGAUGUCCGUGCAAAGAAUUUCAUACAUGCACACGCCGCCGACUCAACUCAAUAUAACCCUGAGUAAAAAAGAAAACAAAAACAAAAAACACAGCACACAUAUUCAGGUAUCGGUCCUAUUUAGUGUCCCAAAUAAUUUUAUUAAAACAAUUUCACCCCUGAUGAGGUAUUUUGGUUUUGUGCAGCCACUCCUUCUCAGACCAAAGUUAAGUGAGGUAAAGAGCUUUUCUUCAUUUUUGAGAUGUACUUUUACAACAAGGAAGCAGGUCUUCACAUUAGCAGAAAUGCUCAAUAGACAGAAAAACAGAACCCUAAAAGAAAAUUACCCUGAGAUUAAGGGAAACGGCCUUGUUUUACGCACACCACGGGUCAAGAAGGAGUCAGACGACCGACAAUAGGAUCGCUUCAUCCCGGUCAAUUACCUCCGAGAGCUCGGGAUGCUUCAACUCCCUCUGUCGGAUACCAUAAGCGUAUAAGAAAAAACCCCCGGAGAAUUUACAACUUUUUAAAAGAGAGAGAGAGAGCGAGAGAGAGAGAGAGAGAGCAAAUCGAUCAAACUUUUCUACAGCACGUUAUACCACUCCGGGUCGAGAGGAGCGAUAUAGCAUGGACCGGUUGAAUGACUAUGUCGGAUCGAAGCAUGACCGAAAGCGUGGCAGGGAUUUUCCCUUUGAACUUCUUCCUGUUCCAUGAUUAACCUCCAACUGUUAAAUGUUUCCUCAAUAUUGCUCUAUUUAUUCUGCACAGAGCGUUUCCGGUGUGGCUCAUGCAAAAGAGAAUUGCAACAACACAGCAUGUUUCUCUUCUCCCUUUCACACAGUAAGUAUGUCUGUUGUAGACUGCGCUUUAUAAAUGUCUCUUUGAUUAUUCAAUCAGUCUUUGAAAACUUUAUCGUCAUCACCAGCAUGCUUUGUACCUCAGGCUCAUCAGAGACAAUCGUAUCCAGGUAAAAUAAUUUUCUUUAAUCUACACACUUUUAGGAAUUAAUUAGCUAAUUUCAUGGAUAAUUUCAGUGACUGAAUUAUUGCCGGUCAUUCGUACAUUUACUUUAUUAUAUAAAAUAUAUAAAUUAAAUCUCUUUGAAACUUUUAGAAUCUAAUCUGUUGGUUUCUUUUUUUCAUAGCAUUUUAUCAAAGUGUUGUCUGCUACAAAGUUAAAAGUAUUGUACUAGUAGUAAUAUAGCAUCCACCAUCUCCUGCUUGCAUAUUUCUGAAAACAUGUUAGUGGUGUGGCAGCCAUGGAUUGAGCUAGCCCUGCAAACCCUGUGGAUGGACGAUGCAGUGGACAGUGGGAGGAAGCAUCCUGAAGCUCUCUUUGCAGACCACUGUGUGUGAUUCUCCACUCGCCGACCAGAAAAGACAAACGGCAGGUCUCAGUUGCAGCACCUCAUCCAUCCAUGUCUGAUCCUGCAUCAGCAGAUUCAGCAACACAGCCAGAGACUUCCUGUAAUCUAUUACAGUUGUUAAAAAAAAAAAACGGUCCAGGAACAGGUCACUCAGGUUAAUCCUGUAUAAACAACUGAUAUUGUUUUUCCUUCUUUAAAUAUUGUUGGCUUAUUAGAAAUAUUCUUGUUCAAUUGUUGUUGUUAUUUACUUUAUUGCCAUCAAAUAAAUAUCCAUGUAAAAUUGUCCAAAGUUAGCAUUAUGUUCAUACAUGUUAAAAAUACCUGAAAAUAAAAUGAGUUCAGUGACA
Long non-coding RNA from Oreochromis niloticus (Nile tilapia), 1923 nucleotides. RefSeq lists it as uncharacterized. The record is from RefSeq and is a predicted model, not a curated record. The transcript has 2 exons. NCBI's taxonomy places the organism in Eukaryota, Metazoa, Chordata, Actinopteri, Cichliformes, Cichlidae.